Molecule: ribosomal RNA, 253 nt
Filed under: uncultured bacterium
Lineage: Bacteria
Also listed under: 1 other name
Description: partial 16S ribosomal RNA
Rfam family: Bacterial small subunit ribosomal RNA
Source: RNAcentral
UACGGAGGGUGCAAGCGUUACUCGGAAUCACUGGGCGUAAAGAGCGUGUAGGCGGAUAUAUAAGUCAGAAGUGAAAUCCAAUAGCUUAACUAUUGAACUGCUUUUGAAACUGUAUAUCUAGAAUGUGGGAGAGGUAGAUGGAAUUUCUGGUGUAGGGGUAAAAUCCGUAGAGAUCAGAAGGAAUACCGAUUGCGAAGGCGAUCUACUGGAACAUUAUUGACGCUGAGACGCGAAAGCGUGGGGAGCAAACAGG